AGUGAACGCUGGCGGUAGGCCUAACACAUGCAAGUCGAACGGCAGCACAGUAAGAGCUUGCUCUUACGGGUGGCGAGUGUCGGACGGGUGAGGUAUACAUCGGAAUCUACUUUUUCGUGGGGGAUAACGUAGGGAAACUUACGCUAAUACCGCAUACGACCUACGGGUGAAAGCAGGGGAUCUUCGGACCUUUUGCGAUGGAAUGAGCCGACGUCGGCUUAGCUAGUUUGCGGGGUCAAGGCCUAACCAGGCGACGAUCCGUAGAUGGUCUGAGAGGAUGGUCCGACACCCUGGAAGUGAGACUGGGCCCAGACUCCUACGGGAGGCAACAGUGGGGAAUAUUAGACGAGGCAGGAGAGCGUGAUCCAGGCAUACCGCGUAGGUGAAGAAGGAGCUCGGGUUGGAGAGCCAUUUUGUUGGGAGAGAAGAGCAGCAGGUUAAUACCGCGCGGUUAUGACGGUACCGAAAGAAUAAGCACCGGCUAACUUCGUG
RNAcentral lists this ribosomal RNA (492 nucleotides) under uncultured bacterium. Its description in RNAcentral is "partial 16S ribosomal RNA". It matches the Rfam family "Bacterial small subunit ribosomal RNA", at positions 29 to 507 of the family's 1533-position model. The record is from RNAcentral.